GACGAACGCUGGCGGCGUGCUUAACACAUGCAAGUCGAACGCAGUGGCGGACGGGUGAGUAACGCGUAAUCAAACUGCCCUUCAGAAGGUGAUAACAGUUGGAAACGACUGCUAAUACCGCAUUCUAUAGAAGGGGAUUGCGUCUGAUUAGCUAGUGGGUGGGGUAAGGGCUCACCACGGCGACGAUCCGUAGAUGAGUUGAGAGGACGACCAGCCACACUGGGACUGAGACACGUCCCAGACUCCUACGGGAGGCAGCAGUGGGGAAUGUUGGGCAAUGGGGGAAAGCCUGAUCCAGCAAUCCCGCGUGAGCGAUGAAGGCCUUCGGGUUGGAAAGCACUGUUGGUAGGAAAGCGGUACCUGCAGAAUAAGCACCGGCUAACUACGUGCCAGCAGCCGCGGUAAUAC
Molecule: ribosomal RNA, 408 nt
Filed under: uncultured bacterium
Lineage: Bacteria
Description: partial 16S ribosomal RNA
Rfam family: Bacterial small subunit ribosomal RNA
Source: RNAcentral